UUAAGUGACUAAGCGUACAUGGUGGAUGCCUUGGCAGUCAGAGGCGAUGAAGGACGUACUAACCUGCGAUAAGCUGUGAGAAGUCGGUAAGAGACGCUAUUACUCACAGAUUUCCGAAUGGGGAAACCCACCCGAGAUAACUCGGGUAUCUGUUACUGAAUACAUAGGUAACAGAGGCGAACCGGGAGAACUGAAACAUCUAAGUACCCCGAGGAAAAGAAAUCAACCGAGAUUCCCUCAGUAGCGGCGAGCGAACGGGGAUUAGCCCUUAAGCAUCUUGGAAGUUAGUGGAACGGUCCUGGAAAGGCCGGCGAUACAGGGUGAUAGCCCCGUACACGAAAACAACCUUGAUGUGAAAUCGAGUAGGGCGGGACACGUGACAUCCUGUCUGAAUAUGGGGGGACCAUCCUCCAAGGCUAAAUACUCCUGACUGACCGAUAGUGAACCAGUACCGUGAGGGAAAGGCGAAAAGAACCCCUGUGAGGGGAGUGAAAUAGAACCUGAAACCGUGUACGUACAAGCAGUGGGAGCCCUUCGGGGUGACUGCGUACCUUUUGUAUAAUGGGUCAGCGACUUACAUUUUGUAGCGAGGUUAACCGUAUAGGGGAGCCGUAGGGAAACCGAGUCUUAACUGGGCGUCUAGUUGCAAGGUGUAGACCCGAAACCGGGUGAUCUAGCCAUGGGCAGGUUGAAGGUUGAGUAACAUCAACUGGAGGACCGAACCCACUAACGUUGCAAAGUUAGGGGAUGACCUGUGGCUGGGGGUGAAAGGCCAAUCAAACUCGGAGAUAGCUGGUUCUCCCCGAAAGCUAUUUAGGUAGCGCCUCGGACGAAUACUACUGGGGGUAGAGCACUGUUUGGGCUAGGGGGUCAUCCCGACUUACCAACCCCAUGCAAACUCCGAAUACCAGUAAGUAAUAUCCGGGAGACACACGGCGGGUGCUAACGUCCGUCGUGAAGAGGGAAACAACCCAGACCGCCGGCUAAGGUCCCAAAGUUCUGGUUAAGUGGGAAACGAUGUGGGAAGGCUCAGACAGCUAGGAUGUUGGCUUAGAAGCAGCCAUCAUUUAAAGAAAGCGUAAUAGCUCACUAGUCGAGUCGGCCUGCGCGGAAGAUGUAACGGGGCUCAAACCAGGCACCGAAGCCGCGGAUUCACACUUAUGUGUGAGUGGUAGGGGAGCGUUCUGUAAGUCUGCGAAGGUGUAUCGAGAGGUAUGCUGGAGAUAUCAGAAGUGCGAAUGCUGACGUAAGUAACGAUAAAGGGGGUGAAAAGCCUCCUCGCCGGAAGACCAAGGGUUCCUGUCCAACGUUAAUCGGGGCAGGGUGAGUCGACCCCUAAGGCGAGGCCGAAAGGCGUAGUCGAUGGGAAGCAGGUUAAUAUUCCUGCACGACUUGUAAUUGCGAUGGGGGGACGGAGAAGGCUAGGUGGGCCAGGCGACGGUUGUCCUGGUGAAAGUGCGUAGGUGGUGUUUCUAGGCAAAUCCGGAGACACAACACUGAGACACGAGACGAACACACUACGGUGUGGAAGCCAUUGAUGCCCUGCUUCCAGGAAAAGCCUCUAAGCUUCAGAUUACAAGUCAUCGUACCCCAAACCGACACAGGUGGUCGGGUAGAGAAUACCAAGGCGCUUGAGAGAACUCGGGUGAAGGAACUAGGCAAAAUAGAACCGUAACUUCGGGAGAAGGUUCGCUCUUGACAGUGAAGUCCCUUGCGGAUGGAGCAGUUGGGAGUCGCAGUGACCAGAUGGCUGGGACUGUUUAUCAAAAACACAGCACUCUGCAAACACGAAAGUGGACGUAUAGGGUGUGACACCUGCCCGGUGCCGGAAGGUUAAUUGAUGGGGUUAGCGCAAGCGAAGCUCUUGAUCGAAGCCCCGGUAAACGGCGGCCGUAACUAUAACGGUCCUAAGGUAGCGAAAUUCCUUGUCGGGUAAGUUCCGACCUG
This 1947-nucleotide ribosomal RNA is filed under the name human gut metagenome. RNAcentral's name for it is "bacterial LSU rRNA". It matches the Rfam family "Bacterial large subunit ribosomal RNA", at positions 1 to 1990 of the family's 2925-position model. The record is from RNAcentral.